GAUGAACGCUGGCGGCGUGCCUAAUACAUGCAAGUCGAGCGAACGGACGAGAAGCUUGCUUCUCUGAUGUUAGCGGCGGACGGGUGAGUAACACGUGGAUAACCUACCUAUAAGACUGGGAUAACUUCGGGAAACCGGAGCUAAUACCGGAUAAUAUUUUGAACCGCAUGGUUCAAAAGUGAAAGACGGUCUUGCUGUCACUUAUAGAUGGAUCCGCGCUGCAUUAGCUAGUUGGUAAGGUAACGGCUUACCAAGGUAACGAUGCAUAGCCGACCUGAGAGGGUGAUCGGCCACACUGGAACUGAGACACGGUCCAGACUCCUACGGGAGGCGGCAGUAGGGAAUCUUCCGCAAUGGGCGAAAGCCUGACGGAGCAACGCCGCGUGAGUGAUGAAGGUCUUCGGAUCGUAAAACUCUGUUAUUAGGGAAGAACAUAUGUGUAAGUAACUGUGCACAUCUUGACGGUACCUAAUCAGAAAGCCACGGCUAACUACGUG
RNAcentral lists this ribosomal RNA (497 nucleotides) under uncultured bacterium. Its description in RNAcentral is "partial 16S ribosomal RNA". It matches the Rfam family "Bacterial small subunit ribosomal RNA", at positions 28 to 507 of the family's 1533-position model. The record is from RNAcentral.